RNAcentral lists this long non-coding RNA (662 nucleotides) under Mytilus galloprovincialis (Mediterranean mussel). Lineage: Eukaryota; Metazoa; Mollusca; Bivalvia; Mytilida; Mytilidae. The record is from RNAcentral.
UUUUUUUACCUAAACAUUUAAGUAUUAUUUAAGUAUGGUGUGAACAAAACGAACAUGAGUAUAGCACUAGUGCUAACAAUUGUAUUCAAGUAUGGUCUUGACAAAACGAUCAUAUGUAUAGCACUAGUGCUAACAAUUGUAUUUAAGUAUGGUGUUGACAAAACGAUCAUAAGUAUAGCACUAGUGCUAACAAUUGUAUUUAAGUAUGGUGUUGACAAAACGAUCAUAAGUAUAGCACUAGUGCUAAAAAUUGUAUUUAAGUAUGAUGUUGACAAAACGAUCAUAAGUAUAGCACUAGUGCUAAAAAUUGUAUUUAAUUAUGGUGUUGACAAAUAAAGGCAACAGUACUAGUAGUAUACCGAUGUUCAAAACUCAUAAAUCGAUAGACAAACACAAAUCCAGGUCAUAAACCAAAACCGAGGGAAAUGCAUUAAUUACAAGAAAAUGACGAUAAAAUGUAACACACACAGAAACGAACUAAGCAUUAGACAAAAUCCGAUGCGAGUAACAAAUAUAACAUCAAAACUAAAUACAUGAAUUUGGGAUAGAAAAGUACCGUGACACGUCUUAUGAUAAUGUGAAGUAACACUCAAAUAUAAGAGGAAGCAAACGACAUAAAAGAAACACAACGUUAAAAUGUAACACACACAGAAACGAACUAU